UUUACAGAGGGAUAGCCCAGAGAAAUUUGGAUUAAUACCUCAUAGUAUAGCAGUUUCGCAUGAAACCACUAUUAAAGUCACAACGGUAAAAGAUGAGCAUGCGUCCCAUUAGCUAGUUGGUAAGGUAACGGCUUACCAAGGCUACGAUGGGUAGGGGUCCUGAGAGGGAGAUCCCCCACACUGGUACUGAGACACGGACCAGACUCCUACGGGAGGCAGCAGUGAGGAAUAUUGGACAAUGGGCGCAAGCCUGAUCCAGCCAUGCCGCGUGCAGGAUGACGGUCCUAUGGAUUGUAAACUGCUUUUGUACGAGAAGAAACACUCCUAUGUAUAGGAGCUUGACGGUAUCGUAAGAAUAAGGAUCGGCUAACUCCGUGCCAGCAGCCGCGGUAAUACGGAGGAUCCAAGCGUUAUCCGGAAUCAUUGGGUUUAAAGGGUCCGUAGGCGGUUUAGUAAGUCAGUGGUGAAAGCCCAUCGCUCAACGGUGGAACGGCCAUUGAUACUGCUGAACUUGAAUUAUUAGGAAGUAACUAGAAUAUGUAGUGUAGCGGUGAAAUGCUUAGAGAUUACAUGGAAUACCAAUUGCGAAGGCAGGUUACUACUAAU
RNAcentral lists this ribosomal RNA (606 nucleotides) under uncultured Flavobacteriales bacterium. RNAcentral describes it as "bacterial SSU rRNA". It matches the Rfam family "Bacterial small subunit ribosomal RNA", at positions 132 to 736 of the family's 1533-position model. Lineage: Bacteria; Pseudomonadati; Bacteroidota; Flavobacteriia; Flavobacteriales. The record is from RNAcentral.